This 443-nucleotide ribosomal RNA is filed under the name uncultured bacterium. Its description in RNAcentral is "partial 16S ribosomal RNA". It matches the Rfam family "Bacterial small subunit ribosomal RNA", at positions 338 to 795 of the family's 1533-position model. The record is from RNAcentral.
CCUACGGGUGGCAGCAGUGGGGAAUAUUGGACAAUGGGGGGAACCCUGAUCCAGCGACGCCGCGUGAGUGAAGAAGUAUUUCGGUAUGUAAAGCUCUAUCAGCAGGGAAGAAAGGAAUGACGGUACCUGACUAAGAAGCCCCGGCUAACUACGUGCCAGCAGCCGCGGUAAUACGUAGGGGGCAAGCGUUAUCCGGAUUUACUGGGGGUAAAGGGAGCGUAGACGGUUACGCAAGUCUGGAGUGAAAGGCGGGGGCCCAACCCCCGGACUGCUUUGGAGACUGGAUAACUGGAGUGAAGGAGAGGUAAGUGGAAUUCCUAGGGUAGCGGUGAAAUGCGUAGAUAUUAGGAAGAACACCAGUGGCGAAGGCAGCUUACUGGACUGUAACUGACGUUGAGGGUCGAAAGCGUGGGGAGCAAACAGGAUUAGAUACCCGGGUAGUC